ACAAAAAUAGCUCAGUUGGUAGAGCGCAACCUUGCCAAGGUUGAGGUCGCGAGUUCGAGCCUUGUUUCCCGCUCCA
RNAcentral lists this transfer RNA (76 nucleotides) under Xylella fastidiosa. RNAcentral's name for it is "tRNA-Gly". The stretch from base 6 to 67 matches the Rfam family "tRNA", at positions 6 to 65 of the family's 71-position model. From Rfam's summary of the family: Transfer RNA (tRNA) molecules are approximately 80 nucleotides in length. Their secondary structure includes four short double-helical elements and three loops (D, anti-codon, and T loops). The record is from RNAcentral. Lineage: Bacteria; Pseudomonadati; Pseudomonadota; Gammaproteobacteria; Lysobacterales; Lysobacteraceae. RNAcentral also lists the same sequence under 4 other names.